GCAGGAAGCAAAGUGUUUGUGUUUGUCUCCUGAAAAAUGGGCUGUUUUUCCUCCACUCUGGUCCCGGGGAAGUCCAUCACUCCCUGCUUCCCUUGGAUGGCUUAAAAGCUCCUUUGCUGCAAGAGCCUGGGAGGGUUCCAGCUCCAGGAGGGAUUAAACCACUCCUGGAGGAGAUGCAGCGUGAUGACAGCAAUUCCCCCAUGUGAUGCUGAUCCCAGGCUUUUCCUUUUUUUUUUUUUUCCCCCCAAAGGAUCAAGGGAUGCGUUUAACAAAACGAGCUGCCCUUUCCGUCUGCGCACACAGCGUCCCCCGGAGCUGUUCCCGGGAAGGGAGAACAUCAUUAAGGAGUUUUAUGACGGAUCUGCACAUCACGCCACCCAUGCAUAAGGAAGAUCCAGCCCGGCUGCACCGUGAACUGAACUGACUGCUGAUGAAUUUGUCUCCCAUUUUAAUUACUUUCUGUACAUUAAAGGUGUAGUGGACCAUG
This is a long non-coding RNA of Pseudopipra pipra, 487 nucleotides long. RefSeq lists it as uncharacterized. The transcript has 2 exons. The record is from RefSeq and is a predicted model, not a curated record. Lineage: Eukaryota; Metazoa; Chordata; Aves; Passeriformes; Pipridae.